This 557-nucleotide long non-coding RNA is filed under the name Homo sapiens (human). RNAcentral describes it as "HSALNT0140546". The record is from RNAcentral. Lineage: Eukaryota; Metazoa; Chordata; Mammalia; Primates; Hominidae.
GUAUCCCAGGACAGUGCUCUGUAACCAGCCCAUAGUAGCUACUGCUAUUUUACCAGCUACUGUAUCUUUCCUUCUUUGAUUUCCAGCACCUGACAGUGAAAAGAGCAAUUUGAAGAAAAACAAAAUUUAUCUUCAAUGUGAAAAGCAAUUUAUAAAAAUCCGAAUACUUGCCAGGAGCAACUUGACAAAAAAGACAAAGGUGGUAGAAGAAAUGUAACCAGCCCACAAUUCCAAUGUUGAUAACAGAUGAGCUCCCUUUCAAGGUGACUGACAUUUACACAAGUACACAGAGCAAGAAGAAGGUCUGAGUGAACUGCCAAGCAUUUUAACUUCUCCUGAGACCAAGUACAUCAACAGUUCUCUUGGAAAAGAACAACUGAUUUGGGAGUCUAGCAGACUGCCAGCUGCAAGACAUUCAUCCAGCAUCAGGAACACAAUGGGCCUUCAUUUGCCUGCCUUUCUGAGGGCACCAAUCAAAAGGAGUCUACUCCUAUGUAAAUCUUCUGCAGGUUGUGCAGUGGACUUCACCUAGUCUCCCAUCUCCAGCUAAUUUGGCC